AAGGCUAAAACUCAAAGGAAUUUGACGGGGGCCCGCACAAGCGGCGGAGCAUGUGGAUUAAUUCGAUGCAACGCGAAGAACCUUACCUGGGUUUGACAUGCACAGGACGCGUCUAGAGAUAGGCGUUCCCUUGUGGCCUGUGUGCAGGUGGUGCAUGGCUGUCGUCAGCUCGUGUCGUGAGAUGUUGGGUUAAGUCCCGCAACGAGCGCAACCCUUGUCUCAUGUUGCCAGCGGGUAAUGCCGGGGACUCGUGAGAGACUGCCGGGGUCAACUCGGAGGAAGGUGGGGAUGACGUCAAGUCAUCAUGCCCCUUAUGUCCAGGGCUUCACACAUGCUACAAUGGCCGGUACAAAGGGCUGCGAUGCCGUAAGGUUAAGCGAAUCCUUUUAAAGCCGGUCUCAGUUCGGAUUGGGGUCUGCAACUCGACCCCAUGAAGUCGGAGUCGCUAGUAAUCGCAGAUCAGCAACGCUGCGGUGAAUACGUUCCCGGGCUUUGUACACACCGCCCGUNAAG
Molecule: ribosomal RNA, 513 nt
Filed under: uncultured Mycobacterium sp.
Lineage: Bacteria; Bacillati; Actinomycetota; Actinomycetes; Mycobacteriales; Mycobacteriaceae
Description: bacterial SSU rRNA
Rfam family: Bacterial small subunit ribosomal RNA
Source: RNAcentral